CAUGCAAGUCGAACGAGGUCCGUCCUUCGGGGCGGGUCUAGUGGCGCACGGGUGAGUAACGCGUGGGAACCUGUCCUGUGGUUCGGGAUACCUCCGGGAAACUGGAGUUAAUACCGGAUGUCUCCUUUGGGAGAAAGAUUUAUCGCCAUAGGGUGGGCCCGCGUCCGAUUAGCUAGUUGGUGGGGUAAAGGCCUACCAAGGCAUCGAUCGGUAGCUGGUCUGAGAGGAUGAUCAGCCACACUGGGACUGAGACACGGCCCAGACUCCUACGGGAGGCAGCAGUGGGGAAUAUUGGACAAUGGGGGCAACCCUGAUCCAGCCAUGCCGCGUGAGUGAUGAAGGCCUUCGGGUUGUAAAGCUCUUUCGGUGGGGACGAUGAUGACGGUACCCACAGAAGAAGCCCCGGCUAACUUCGUGCCAGCAGCCGCGGUAAUACGAAGGGGGCGAGCGUUGUUCGGAAUUACUGGGCGUAAAGGGCGCGUAGGCGGCGCACCAAGUCAGGCGUGAAAGCCCUGGGCUUAACCCAGGAAUUGCGUUUGAGACUGGCGUGCUGGAGUGCAGGAGAGGUCGGCGGAAUUCCCAGUGUAGAGGUGAAAUUCGUAGAGAUUGGGAAGAACACCGGUGGCGUANGCGGCCGACUGGACUGUAACUGACGCUGA
Molecule: ribosomal RNA, 659 nt
Filed under: uncultured bacterium
Lineage: Bacteria
Description: bacterial SSU rRNA
Rfam family: Bacterial small subunit ribosomal RNA
Source: RNAcentral